UACAGAGGCCCCAAGUGUUAGCCGGAAUUAUUGGGCGUAAAGCGUCCGUAGACGGAAUGAUAAGUUCGCUGUUAAAUCUUGUAGCUCAACUACAAGCGUGCAGUGGAUACUGUCAUUCUUGAGGAACAGAGAGGUAAGCGGAACUCAUAGUGGAGCGGUGAAAUGCGUUGAUAUUAUGGGGAACACCAAUUGCGAAGGCAGCUUACUGGCUGUCUCCUGACGUUAAUGGACGACAGCGUAGGUAGCGAACGGG
This 253-nucleotide ribosomal RNA is filed under the name uncultured bacterium. Its description in RNAcentral is "partial 16S ribosomal RNA". It matches the Rfam family "Bacterial small subunit ribosomal RNA", at positions 524 to 776 of the family's 1533-position model. The record is from RNAcentral.